This 118-nucleotide small RNA is filed under the name Marmota monax (woodchuck). Lineage: Eukaryota; Metazoa; Chordata; Mammalia; Rodentia; Sciuridae. The record is from RNAcentral.
GCCAGGCGCAGUGGUGCCCGUGUGUAGUUCCCAGCUACUUGAGAGGCUGAGGCAAGAGGAUCACUUGAGUCCAGGAAUUCAAGACCAGCCAGGGCAACACAGUGAGAUCAUGUCUCAA